AGCGAACGCUGGCGGCAGGCCUAACACAUGCAAGUCGAACGAACCUUUCGGGGUUAGUGGCGGACGGGUGGGUAACCCGGUGGGACAUUCCUUUAGGUCCGGAAUAACUUAGGGGAUCUUGUGCUAAUACCGACUGUGCUCUUCGGGGCGAAGAUUGAUCGUCUUUAGAGCGGCCCGCGACUGCUUAGCUAGUUGGUUGAGGUAAUGGCUCACCAAGGCUACGAGCAGUAGCUGGUCCGAGAGGAUGAGCAGCCACAUUGGGACUGAGACACGGCCCAGACUCCUACGGGAGGCAGCAGUGGGGAAUCUUGCGAAAUGGGCGAAAGCCUGACGCAGCCAGGCCGGGUGAAUGAUGAAGGUCUUAGGAUUGUAAAAUUCUUUCACCGGGGACGAUAAUGACGGUACCCGGAGAAGAAGCCCCGGCUAACUUCGUG
Molecule: ribosomal RNA, 434 nt
Filed under: uncultured bacterium
Lineage: Bacteria
Description: partial 16S ribosomal RNA
Rfam family: Bacterial small subunit ribosomal RNA
Source: RNAcentral